This 75-nucleotide transfer RNA is filed under the name Campylobacterota bacterium. Its description in RNAcentral is "Epsilonproteobacteria bacterium tRNA-Thr". It matches the Rfam family "tRNA". Rfam says of the family: Transfer RNA (tRNA) molecules are approximately 80 nucleotides in length. Their secondary structure includes four short double-helical elements and three loops (D, anti-codon, and T loops). Lineage: Bacteria; Pseudomonadati; Campylobacterota. RNAcentral also lists the same sequence under 4 other names. The record is from RNAcentral.
GCUGGCGUAGCUCAAUGGUAGAGCAACUGAUUUGUAAUCAGUAGGUUGCAGGUUCAAGUCCAGUCGCCAGCUCCA